AUUCCUUGUCGGGUAAGUUCCGACCCGCACGAAUGGCAUAACGGUCUGAGUACUGUCUCAAGCAUAGACUCGGUGAAAUUGCAAUGUCGGUAAAAAUGCCGACUACCCGUAGCAAGACGGAAAGACCCUAUGGAGCUUUACUAUAGCCUGGUAUUGAAUUAUGUUUUAAGGUGUGUAGGAUAGGUGGGAGACUGUGAUAUUUAGAUGCUAGUCUAAAAGGAGUCAUCCUUGAAAUACCACCCUUCUUAAAAUGUAAUUCUAAUUCCGCAAAGCGGAAAACAGUGCUUGGUGGGUAGUUUAACUGGGGCGGUUGCCUCCUAAAGAGUAACGGAGGCGCACAAAGGUUGACUAUCUCCGGAUGGAAAUCGGAGAGAUAGUGUAUUCGCAUAAGUCAGCCUGACUGAGAGACUUACAAGUCGAUCAGACACGAAAGUGGGUGAAAAUGAUCCGGCAUUAACGAGUGGAAGUGAUGUCGCUCAA
Molecule: ribosomal RNA, 480 nt
Filed under: Ctenophora environmental sample
Lineage: Eukaryota; Metazoa; Ctenophora
Description: partial Bacterial large subunit ribosomal RNA
Rfam family: Bacterial large subunit ribosomal RNA
Source: RNAcentral